Molecule: long non-coding RNA, 1143 nt
Filed under: Equus caballus (horse)
Lineage: Eukaryota; Metazoa; Chordata; Mammalia; Perissodactyla; Equidae
Description: lncRNA (ENSECAG00000029279.3)
Source: RNAcentral
UGCCCAUCAAGAUCAUUUUCAAAAGAUGAUUACUUCAGUGUGCCCAGGCCUGCAGGACAUAAGUACAUGGGCAGGAGUGGUAAGAGCUAUAAUUGUUCUUAAUGGGAAAAUAUGCAGGUUGUUUCCAAUAUUUGCCUGUUAAAACCAAACGGCAGAGAACAUCUUUCUGCAUGUCUCCAUGGGCGUUUAUAUGAGAUUCUUUCCUGAGAUAUAUCUGCUAGAAGUGGAGUCUGUGGAUCAUCAGGUGUAUAACAGGCUCCUGCAGCCUUCUCUUCCAGUCCUACUUCUAGUCAUCUUACUCAUCUCUCCUUGGCAAAGAGGGAACUUCAAAUGCCCCACAGACUUGGAACAAACCCCAAAGCUCGUCACCCAGCACACAAAUGCAACCAUUUCUGGAUUCAUUCCUCCCAGGAUGGAAAGAAGUGUCUAAGAAAUGACAUCUUGAAGACAGAAUCCUCUCGAAGCUGAGAAUAUCUGCAACAGGCAGCAGGGAGCGGUGGUGGGAGUGGGAGACCAUAGCUCCGGGGUUUUGGAGACUUGAGUGUAGUGACCGUUUCGUCUAUAUUGUGAGCUAUCAAUACAGCUGUCUAACUUAACGAAGAGUCAAACUUGAGCUCAGGAAGCAUUUCUUACACAGCAGUAGUGGGUCCUCCUCUGGCUGCCACCCAGCUUGGGGAGGGACUGUGGAGGCAGCGAGUCCAUGGAAAAGGAGGCAGGUACAAGGGAAACACAAGGAGAGAAGAGAAGCCAUUGUUUCUGGACUUGGCCACCCCACUCAGGAGCACGGUGUAUUAUGUUAAGAUGCCAGUCGAAAGAUAUGGAUAUUUCAAGUCGAAGCACAAAGAUAUUUUUCAUCUGGUGGAGAAUAAAGAGGAAAAACAUGGAACGCCAUUUAUGAAAUGACAUUCUCAUCCAAUUCCUCCAUCCCAAAUGAAUGAAGAUUUAUGGAGUAGAGACCUCUGCGGGGCAGGAGGUGGGACCAUCUGUAGAAGUGCUCAAGAGAGACCAGCUGAAGAGCCAAGGAUGAGCUGGAGAUCCACCGGCAAAUGGUCAGCAGCGAGACAGACGGAAGGCCUUUAUCAUCUCCAGGCCCUCUCCAAACACACAAAUCAAUAACAAUUAAAGCAGAUUAUGAAAAGGCAA